GGGUGUAAGGAUGAGAGAGAGAGAGAGGAUGAGAAGGGAGGAUUGGGAGGAGUAACAAAAGUGAAAACAAAAACUUGAAAGUGAAAACAAUUUCAAAUAGAUUUCAGUUUUUAGCUUUUGUUUUCACUUUUGUUACUCCUCUCUCCCAUCCUCCCCUCUCAUCUUCCUUCUCAAUCCCAUCU
RNAcentral lists this microRNA precursor (182 nucleotides) under Prunus dulcis (almond). Its description in RNAcentral is "sRNA ncRNA". The record is from RNAcentral. Lineage: Eukaryota; Viridiplantae; Streptophyta; Magnoliopsida; Rosales; Rosaceae.